RNAcentral lists this ribosomal RNA (274 nucleotides) under uncultured bacterium. Its description in RNAcentral is "partial 16S ribosomal RNA". It matches the Rfam family "Bacterial small subunit ribosomal RNA", at positions 523 to 796 of the family's 1533-position model. The record is from RNAcentral.
AUACGGAGGGUGCGAGCGUUAAUCGGAAUUACUGGGCGUAAAGCGUACGUAGGCGGUUGGUUAAGUUAGAUGUGAAAGCCCCGGGCUUAACCUGGGAACUGCAUUUAAAACUGGCGAACUAGAGUUGAGUAGAGGGGAGUGGAAUUUCAGGUGUAGCGGUGUAAUGCGUAGAGAUCUGAAGGAACACCAGUGGCGAAGGCGACUCCCUGGACUCGAACUGACGCUGAGGUACGAAAGCGUGGGUAGCAAACGGGAUUAGAAACCCUAGUAGUCC